Molecule: ribosomal RNA, 490 nt
Filed under: uncultured bacterium
Lineage: Bacteria
Description: partial 16S ribosomal RNA
Rfam family: Bacterial small subunit ribosomal RNA
Source: RNAcentral
AUUGAACGCUGGCGGCAGGCCUAACACAUGCAAGUCGAACGGUAACAGGAAGCAGCUUGCUGCUUUGCUGACGAGUGGCGGACGGGUGAGUAAUGUCUGGGAAACUGCCCGAUGGAGGGGGAUAACUACUGGAAACGGUAGCUAAUACCGCAUAACGUCGCAAGACCAAAGAGGGGGACCUUAGGGCCUCUUGCCAUCGGAUUUGCCCAGAUGGGAUUAGCUGGUAGGUGGGGUAACGGCUCACCUAGGCGACGAUCCCUAGCUGGUCUGAGAGGAUGACCAGCCACACUGGAACUGAGACACGGUCCAGCCUCCUACGGGAGGAAGCAGUGGGGAAUAUUGGACAAUGGGCGCAAGCCUGAUGCAGCCAUGCCGCGUGUAUGAAGAAGGCCUUCGGGUUGUAAAGUACUUUCAGCGGGGAGGAAGGGAGUAAAGUUAAUACCUUUGCUCAUUGACGUUACCCGCAGAAGAAGCACCGGCUAACUCCGUG